Molecule: ribosomal RNA, 545 nt
Filed under: fungal endophyte
Lineage: Eukaryota; Fungi
Description: eukaryotic LSU rRNA
Rfam family: 5.8S ribosomal RNA (bases 183-336)
Source: RNAcentral
UCGUAACAAGGUUUCCGUAGGUGAACCUGCGGAAGGAUCAUUACCUAGAGUUGUAGGCUUUGCCUGCUAUCUCUUACCCAUGUCUUUUGAGUACUUACGUUUCCUCGGCGGGUCCGCCCGCCGACUGGACAAUUUAAACCCUUUGCAGUUGCAAUCAGCGUCUGAAAAAACUUAAUAGUUACAACUUUCAACAACGGAUCUCUUGGUUCUGGCAUCGAUGAAGAACGCAGCGAAAUGCGAUAAGUAGUGUGAAUUGCAGAAUUCAGUGAAUCAUCGAAUCUUUGAACGCACAUUGCGCCCCUUGGUAUUCCAUGGGGCAUGCCUGUUCGAGCGUCAUUUGUACCUUCAAGCUCUGCUUGGUGUUGGGUGUUUGUCUCGCCUCUGCGUGUAGACUCGCCUUAAAACAAUUGGCAGCCGGCGUAUUGAUUUCGGAGCGCAGUACAUCUCGCGCUUUGCACUCAUAACGACGACGUCCAAAAGUACAUUUUUACACUCUUGACCUCGGAUCAGGUAGGGAUACCCGCUGAACUUAAGCAUAUCAAUAA